This 586-nucleotide ribosomal RNA is filed under the name uncultured bacterium. Its description in RNAcentral is "bacterial SSU rRNA". It matches the Rfam family "Bacterial small subunit ribosomal RNA", at positions 338 to 916 of the family's 1533-position model. The record is from RNAcentral.
CCUACGGGAGGCAGCAGUGGGGAAUUUUGGACAAUGGGCGCAAGCCUGAUCCAGCAAUGCCGCGUGAGUGAAGAAGGCCUUCGGGUUGUAAAGCUCUUUUGUCAGGGAAGAAACGGUGGAGGUUAAUACCUUCUGCUAAUGACGGUACCUGAAGAAUAAGCACCGGCUAACUACGUGCCAGCAGCCGCGGUAAUACGUAGGGUGCAAGCGUUAAUCGGAAUUACUGGGCGUAAAGCGUGCGCAGGCGGUUGUGCAAGACAGAUGUGAAAUCCCCGGGCUCAACCUGGGAAUUGCAUUUGUGACUGUACGGCUAGAGUGUGUCAGAGGGGGGUAGAAUUCCACGUGUAGCAGUGAAAUGCGUAGAGAUGUGGAGGAAUACCGAUGGCGAAGGCAGCCCCCUGGGAUAACACUGACGCUCAUGCACGAAAGCGUGGGGAGCAAACAGGAUUAGAUACCCUGGUAGUCCACGCCCUAAACGAUGUCUACUAGUUGUCGGGUCUUUAUUGACUUGGUAACGCAGCUAACGCGUGAAGUAGACCGCCUGGGGAGUACGGCCGCAAGAUUAAAACUCAAAUGAAAUUGACGG